CAGAGGGUGCGAGCGUUGUUCGGAAUUACUGGGCGUAAAGCGCGCGCAGGCGGUCCUUUAAGUCUACCCGUGAAAUGCCGGAGCUCAACUCCGUGCACGCCGGGGGAUACUGGGGGGACUGGAGACAUGUAGAGGCAAGCGGAAUUCCGGGUGUAGCGGUGGAAUGCGUAGAUAUCCGGAAGAACACCUGAGGCGAAGGCGGCUUGCUGGGCAUGAUCUGACGCUGAGGCGCGAAAGCGUGGGGAGCAAACAGGAUUAGAUACCCUGGUAGUCCACGCCGUAAACGAUGGGCACUAGACGCGGGUGGGAUCGACCCCUUCCGUGUCGCAGCUAACGCGAUAAGUGCCCCGCCUGGGGAGUACGGCCGCAAGGCUG
This 375-nucleotide ribosomal RNA is filed under the name uncultured organism. Its description in RNAcentral is "bacterial SSU rRNA". It matches the Rfam family "Bacterial small subunit ribosomal RNA", at positions 526 to 896 of the family's 1533-position model. The record is from RNAcentral.